RNAcentral lists this ribosomal RNA (465 nucleotides) under uncultured bacterium. Its description in RNAcentral is "partial 16S ribosomal RNA". It matches the Rfam family "Bacterial small subunit ribosomal RNA", at positions 338 to 795 of the family's 1533-position model. The record is from RNAcentral.
CCUACGGGAGGCAGCAGUAGGGAAUCUUCCACAAUGGGCGCAAGCCUGAUGGAGCAACACCGCGUGAGGGAAGAAGGGUUUCGGCGCGUAAAGCUCUGUUGUUGGAGAAGAACGUGCGUGAGAGUAACUGUUCACGCAGUGACGGUAUCCAACAAGAAAGGCACGGCUAACUACGUGCCAGCAGCUGCGGUAAUACGUAGGUGGCAAGCGUUAUCCGGAUUUAUUGGGCGUAAAGCGAGCGCAGGCGUUCGCUUAGGUCUGAUGUGAAAGCUUUCGGCUUAACCGUAGAAGUGCAACGGAAACCGGGCGACUUGAGUGCAGAAGAGGACAGUGGAACUCCAUGUGUAGCGGUGAAAUGCGUAGAUAUAUGGAAGAACACCAGUGGCGAAGGCAGCUGUCUGGUCUGCAACUGACGCUGAGGCUCGAAAGCGUGGGUAGCGAACAGGAUUAGAUACCCUGGUAGUC